This 433-nucleotide ribosomal RNA is filed under the name uncultured bacterium. Its description in RNAcentral is "partial 16S ribosomal RNA". It matches the Rfam family "Bacterial small subunit ribosomal RNA", at positions 29 to 507 of the family's 1533-position model. The record is from RNAcentral.
AACGAACGCUGGCGGCAUGCCUAACACAUGCAAGUCGAACGAGACCUUCGGGUCUAGUGGCGCACGGGUGCGUAACGCGUGGGAACCUGCCCUUAGGUUCGGAAUAACUCCCCGAAAGGGGUGCUAAUACCGGAUAAUGUCUACGGACCAAAGAUUUAUCGCCUUUGGAUGGGCCCGCGUUGGAUUAGCUAGUUGGUAGGGUAAAAGCCUACCAAGGCGACGAUCCAUAGCUGGUCUGAGAGGAUGAUCAGCCACACUGGGACUGAGACACGGCCCAGACUCCUACGGGAGGCAGCAGUGGGGAAUAUUGGACAAUGGGCGAAAGCCUGAUCCAGCAAUGCCGCGUGAGUGAUGAAGGCCUUAGGGUUGUAAAGCUCUUUUACCCGGGAUGAUAAUGACAGUACCGGGAGAAUAAGCGCCGGCUAACUCCGUG